This 292-nucleotide ribosomal RNA is filed under the name uncultured bacterium. RNAcentral's name for it is "partial 16S ribosomal RNA". It matches the Rfam family "Bacterial small subunit ribosomal RNA", at positions 505 to 796 of the family's 1533-position model. The record is from RNAcentral.
GUGUCAGCAGCCGCGGUAAGACAGAGGGUGCAAACGUUGUUCGGAAUUACUGGGCGUAAAGCGCGUGUAGGCGGCAAGCCAAGUCGGGUGUGAAAGCCCUGGGCUCAACCCAGGAAGUGCAUUCGAUACUGGCAAGCUAGAGUCCCGGAGAGGAUGGUGGAACUCUCGGUGUAGAGGUGAAAUUCGUAGAUAUCGAGAAGAACACCGGUGGCGAAGGCGGCCAUCUGGACGGUGACUGACGCUGAGACGCGAAAGCGUGGGGAGCAAACAGGAUUAGAUACCCUGGUAGUCC